GAUGAACGCUAGCGGCAGGCCUAAUACAUGCAAGUCGAACGGUAAGGCCCUUUCGGGGGUACACGAGUGGCGGACGGGUGCGUAACGCGUAUGCAACAUGCCUUCCAGCGGGGGAUAUACCAGGGGAACUUGGCGCAAUACCCCAUAGAAUUACGGGACCGCAUGGUCUUGUGAUUAAAACUCCGGUGCUGGGAGAUUGGCAUGCGUGACAUUAGCUAGUUGGCGGGGUAACGGCCCACCAAGGCGACGAUGUCUAGCUGGUCUGAGAGGAUGAUCAGCCACACUGGGACUGAGACACGGCCCAGACUCCUACGGGAGGCAGCAGUGGGGAAUAUUGGACAAUGGGGGCAACCCUGAUCCAGCCAUGCCGCGUGUGUGAAGAAGGCCUCGGUUGUAAG
RNAcentral lists this ribosomal RNA (398 nucleotides) under uncultured bacterium. Its description in RNAcentral is "bacterial SSU rRNA". It matches the Rfam family "Bacterial small subunit ribosomal RNA", at positions 28 to 429 of the family's 1533-position model. The record is from RNAcentral.